RNAcentral lists this ribosomal RNA (580 nucleotides) under uncultured bacterium. RNAcentral's name for it is "bacterial SSU rRNA". It matches the Rfam family "Bacterial small subunit ribosomal RNA", at positions 331 to 929 of the family's 1533-position model. The record is from RNAcentral.
CCAGACUCCUACGGGAGGCAGCAGUGGGGAAUAUUGGACAAUGGACCAAGAGUCUGAUCCAGCAAUUCUGUGUGCACGAUGAAGUUUUUCGGAAUGUAAAGUGCUUUCAGUUGGGAAGAAAAAAAUGACGGUACCAACAGAAGAAGUGACGGCUAAAUACGUGCCAGCAGCCGCGGUAAUACGUAUGUCACAAGCGUUAUCCGGAUUUAUUGGGCGUAAAGCGCGUCUAGGUGGUUAUAUAAGUCUGAUGUGAAAAUGCAGGGCUCAACUCUGUAUUGCGUUGGAAACUGUGUAACUAGAGUACUGGAGAGGUAAGCGGAACUACAAGUGUAGAGGUGAAAUUCGUAGAUAUUUGUAGGAAUGCCGAUGGGGAAGCCAGCUUACUGGACAGAUACUGACGCUGAAGCGCGAAAGCGUGGGUAGCAAACAGGAUUAGAUACCCUGGUAGUCCACGCCGUAAACGAUGAUUACUAGGUGUUGGGGGUCGAACCUCAGCGCCCAAGCAAACGCGAUAAGUAAUCCGCCUGGGGAGUACGUACGCAAGUAUGAAACUCAAAGGAAUUGACGGGGCCCGCACAAG